Molecule: long non-coding RNA, 335 nt
Filed under: Nicotiana benthamiana
Lineage: Eukaryota; Viridiplantae; Streptophyta; Magnoliopsida; Solanales; Solanaceae
Description: long non-coding RNA (NBEN_LNC031977)
Source: RNAcentral
AAAACCUCUUCUCUCUCCUUCUUGUGGAAAACCAGAAGAUCAUUGCAGCCAUCCAUGCUAAAAAUCUCAAUGGCAACAGGGCGAAGUUGAUAAUCACGCUUCAAAAUCUCAUGAACACUGUCAAGCUUCCACAUAUGCCAGAGAUGGGGCACAUUACCACUAGUGAAGACCUUUUCCUUUCCCCAUGCACCACGUCAAGCUUCCACAUAUGCCAAAGAUGGGGCACAUUACCACUAGUGAAGACCUUUUCCUUUCCCCACGCACCACCAUUAUAUGCCCACGCCCUACCCCCAACAUAGGCCUUUGUUGUUGCAGCCCAGGAGGAACUUGACUUU